AUUGAACGCUGGCGGCAUGCUUUACACAUGCAAGUCGAACGGUAACAGGCCGCAAGGUGCUGACGAUUGGCGAACGGGUGAGUAAUGCAUCGGAACGUGCCCAGUCGUGGGGGAUAACUACUCGAAAGAGUAGCUAAUACCGCAUACGAUCUAUGGAUGAAAUCGGGGGACCGUAAGGCCUCGCUCGAUUGGAGCGGCCGAUGUCAGAUUAGGUAGUUGGUGGGGUAAAGGCUCACCAAGCCAACGAUCUGUAGCUGGUCUGAGAGGACGACCAGCCACACUGGGACUGAGACACGGCCCAGAGUCCUACGGGAGGCAGCAGUGGGGAAUUUUGGACAAUGGGCGCAAGCCUGAUCCAGCAAUGCCGCGUGCAGGAAGAAGGCCUUCGGGUUGUAAACUGCUUUUGUACGGAACGAAACGGCUCUGGUUAAUACCCGGGGCUAAUGACGGUACCGUAAGAAUAAGCACCGGCUAACUACGUG
RNAcentral lists this ribosomal RNA (482 nucleotides) under uncultured bacterium. Its description in RNAcentral is "partial 16S ribosomal RNA". It matches the Rfam family "Bacterial small subunit ribosomal RNA", at positions 30 to 507 of the family's 1533-position model. The record is from RNAcentral.